This is a small nuclear RNA of Erinaceus europaeus (western European hedgehog), 107 nucleotides long. The record is from Ensembl. NCBI's taxonomy places the organism in Eukaryota, Metazoa, Chordata, Mammalia, Eulipotyphla, Erinaceidae.
CUGCUCCCUUGAGCAGCACAUACACUAAAACUGGGAUGAUACAGAGAAGAUUAGCAUGGCCCCUGAACAAGGAUGACACACAAAUGCAUGAAGCAGUCUAUAUUUUU